Molecule: ribosomal RNA, 459 nt
Filed under: uncultured bacterium
Lineage: Bacteria
Description: partial 16S ribosomal RNA
Rfam family: Bacterial small subunit ribosomal RNA
Source: RNAcentral
CCUACGGGGGGCUGCAGUGAGGAAUAUUGGUCAAUGGCCGCAAGGCUGAACCAGCCAAGCCGCGUGAGGGAGGACGGCGCUGUGCGUUGUAGACCUCUUUUGUCGGGGGACAAAAGGCCGGACGGGUCCGGUUCUGAGAGUACCCGGAGAAAAAGCAUCGGCUAACUCCGUGCCAGCAGCCGCGGUAAUACGGAGGAUGCGAGCGUUAUCCGGAUUUAUUGGGUUUAAAGGGUGCGCAGGCGGGCCGUUAAGUCGGCGGUAAAAUCGCGGGGCUCAACCCCGCCGUGCCGUCGACACUGGCGGGCUUGAGUGCGGUGGAGGCAUGCGGAAUGCGCGGUGUAGCGGUGAAAUGCAUAGAUAUCACGCAGAACCCCGAUUGCGAAGGCAGCGUACCGUGCCGCCACUGACGCUGAGGCACGAAAGCGCGGGGAUCGAACAGGAUUAGAUACCCUGGUAGUC